CCUGGUUGAUCCUGCCAGUAGUCAUAUGCUUGUCUCAAAGAUUAAGCCAUGCAUGUCUAAGUUUAAGCGAUUUAAAUUGUGAGACUGCGGACGGCUCAUUAUAUCAGUUAUAGUUUAUUUGAUGGUCGAUUGCUACAAGGAUAACCGUAGUAAUUCUAGAGCUAAUACUUGCACUUCAAACCUCUUCCGAGGUUGCAUUUAUUAGAUUUCCCACCAAUGCCUUUUAGGCUUCGGUGAAUCAUAGUAACUUAGCGGAUCAUGUCGUAAGACUUGACGCUUCAUUCAAGUUUCUGCCCUAUCAGCUUUCGAAGGUAGUGUAUUGGACUACCUUGGCAUUGACGGGUAACGGAGAAUUAGGGUUCGAUUCCGGAGAGGGAGCCUGAGAAACGGCUACCACAUCCAAGGAAGGCAGCAGGCGCGUAAAUUACCCAAUCCUAACGCAGGGAGGUAGUGACAAGAAAUAACGGUAGCCUAUCUAGAUUUGAUCGGCUAAUCGGAAUGAGUACAAUCUAAACACCUUAACGAUUAACAAUUGGAGGGCAAGUCUGGUGCCAGCAGCCGCGGUAAUUCCAGCUCCAAUAGCGUAUACUAAUGUUGUUGCAGUUAAAAAGCUCGUAGUCGGAUUUCAGCUUUGCUCAUCUUUUCCAUUUUGGAUCUGCUGGGGAGGGCUUCUUUGACGGAAGUAUUCCUGACAUUCAUUUGUUGGGUUUUUCAACCGUCUCUUUUACUUUGAGAAAAUUAGAGUGUUCAAAGCAGGCAUUGCCUGAAUAUUACUCUUGGAAUAAUAAUAGAUGACUCUGGUGCUAGUUUGUUGGUGCACUGGUGCCGGAGUAAUGAUUAAUAGCGACGGUUGGGGUCAUUCGUACUGCAAAGCGAGAGGUGAAAUUCUUGGACCUUUGUAUGACGAACAACUGCGAAAGCAUUUGACUAGGACGUUCGCGUUGAUCAAGAACGAAAGUUGGGGGAUCGAAGACGAUCAGAUACCGUCGUAGUCUCAACCAUAAACUAUGCCAGCUAGGGAUGAGCGAUUGUCUUCAACUGACAUCGUUUGCACCUUAUGAGAAAUCAAAGCAUUUGGGUUCCGGGGGGAGUAUGGUCGCAAGGCUGAAACUUAAAGGAAUUGACGGGAGGGCACCACCAGGAGUGGAGCCUGUUGCUUAAUUUGAUUCAACACGGGGAAACUUACCAGGUCCGGACAUAGUAAGGAUUGACAGAUUGAAAGCUCUUUCUUGAUUCUAUGGGUGGUGGUGCAUGGCCGUUCUUAGUUGGUGGAGUGAUUUGUCUGGUUAAUUCCGUUAACGAACGAGACCUUAACCUGCUAAAUAGUUACACGUAACCUCGGUUACGUGGGCAACUUCUUAGAGGGACUUUGCGUGUCUAACGCAAGGAAGUUUGAGGCAAUAACAGGUCUGUGAUGCCCUUAGAUGUUCUGGGCUGCUAACGGGCUACACUGGUGCAUUCAACAAGCCUUUUCCCUGGUCCGAAAGGUCUGGGUAAUCUUUGAAAUUGCACCGUGCUUGGGAUAGACUAUUGCAAUUUUUAGUCUUCAACGAGGAAUUCCUAGUAAACGCGAGUCAUCAACUCGCAUUGAUUACGUCCCUGCCCUUUGUACACACCGCCCGUCGCUCCUACCGAUUGGAUGAUUCGGUGAGCUCUUGGGACUGGCUGCUGUGUCUCCCUAACGGGAGCUCGGCAUCGGAAACUUGAUCAAACCUAAUUAUCUAGAGGAAGGAGAAGUCGUAACAAGGUUUCCGUAGGUGAACCUGCGGAAG
This 1772-nucleotide ribosomal RNA is filed under the name marine metagenome. RNAcentral's name for it is "SSU rRNA". It matches the Rfam family "Eukaryotic small subunit ribosomal RNA". The record is from RNAcentral.